This 771-nucleotide ribosomal RNA is filed under the name uncultured bacterium. RNAcentral describes it as "bacterial SSU rRNA". It matches the Rfam family "Bacterial small subunit ribosomal RNA", at positions 10 to 813 of the family's 1533-position model. The record is from RNAcentral.
AGUUUGAUCCUGGCUCAAAAUCAACGCUGGCGGCGCGCUUAACACAUGCAAGUCAAACGAGAAAGCCCGCAGGGGUGAGUAAAGUGGCGUACGGGUGAGUAACACGUGGGUAAUCUACCUUUUGGUGGGGAAUAACGCUGGGAAACCGGCGCUAAUACCGCAUAAGCCUGAGAAGGGAAAGGAGCAAUUCGCCGAAAGAGGAGCCCGCGGCUGAUUAGCUAGUUGGUGAGGUAAGAGCUCACCAAGGCGAUGAUCGGUAGCCGGCCUGAGAGGGCACACGGCCACACUGGCACUGAAACACGGGCCACACUCCUACGGGAGGCAGCAGUGGGGAAUCUUGCACAAUGGGGGAAACCCUGAUGCACCGACGCCGCGUGAGUGAUGAACCCCUUCGGGGUGUAAAGCUCUUUCGGCAGGGACGAUAAUGACGGUACCUGAAAAAGAAGCUGCGGCUAACUACGUGCCAGCAGCCGCGGUAAUACGUAGGCAGCGAGCGUUGUUCGGAGUUACUGGGCGUAAAGAGUGCGUAGGCGGUUUUCUAAGUUUGGUGUGACAUCUCCCGGCUUAACUGGGAGGGUGCGCCGAAGACUGGGAGGGCUGGAGUAUGGGAGAGGUAAGCGUAUUUCCUGGUGUAGCGGUGAAAUGCGUAUAUAUCAGGAGGAACACCUGCGGUGUAGACUGGCUUACUGCACCAUAACUGACGCUGAGGCACGAAGCGUGUGUAGCAAACAGGAUUAGAUACCCUGUACUCCCACGCCCCUAAACGAUGCA